UAAGGUGGCUGAGAAAGCGGUGGUUUGUAGAGCCAAGCAUAAAGGUAUAACCCUUUUCUUAC
This 62-nucleotide transfer RNA is filed under the name Micromoema xiphophora. RNAcentral's name for it is "Micromoema xiphophorus tRNA-Tyr". The record is from RNAcentral. Lineage: Eukaryota; Metazoa; Chordata; Actinopteri; Cyprinodontiformes; Rivulidae.